RNAcentral lists this ribosomal RNA (451 nucleotides) under uncultured bacterium. RNAcentral's name for it is "bacterial SSU rRNA". It matches the Rfam family "Bacterial small subunit ribosomal RNA", at positions 354 to 796 of the family's 1533-position model. The record is from RNAcentral.
GUGGGGAAUUUUUCGCAAUGGGGGAAACCCUGACGAAGCAACGCCGCGUGGAGGAUGAAGGCCUUCGGGUCGUAAACUCCUGUCGACCGGGACGAAAGUAGUCCGACCCAAUACGUCGGGCUAUCGACUGUACCGGUGGAGGAAGCCACGGCUAACUCUGUGCCAGCAGCCGCGGUAAUACAGAGGUGGCAAGCGUUGUUCGGAAUUACUGGGCGUAAAGGGCGCGUAGGCGGUCGGGCAAGUCCUGUGUGAAAUCCCUCGGCUCAACUGAGGAACUGCACGGGAAACUGCCUGACUUGAGUUCGGGAGAGGGAAGCGGAAUUCCGGGUGUAGCGGUGAAAUGCGUAGAUAUCCGGAGGAACACCGGUGGCGAAGGCGGCUUCCUGGACCGACACUGACGCUGAGGCGCGAAAGCUAGGGGAGCAAACGGGAUUAGAUACCCGGGUAGUCC